Molecule: ribosomal RNA, 253 nt
Filed under: uncultured bacterium
Lineage: Bacteria
Description: partial 16S ribosomal RNA
Rfam family: Bacterial small subunit ribosomal RNA
Source: RNAcentral
UACGAAGGGGGCUAGCGUUGUUCGGAAUUACUGGGCGUAAAGCGCACGUAGGCGGAUUUGUUAGUCGGGGGUGAAAUCCCGGGGCUCAACCUCGGAACUGCCUUUGAUACUGCAAGUCUAGAGUCCGGAAGAGGGGAGUGGAAUUCCUAGUGUAGAGGUGAAAUUCGUAGAUAUUAGGAAGAACACCAGUGGCGAAGGCGGCUCACUGGUCCGGUACUGACGCUGAGGUGCGAAAGCUUGGGGAGCAAACAGG